This is a long non-coding RNA of Capsicum annuum, 556 nucleotides long. RefSeq lists it as uncharacterized. The record is from RefSeq and is a predicted model, not a curated record. The transcript has 4 exons. NCBI's taxonomy places the organism in Eukaryota, Viridiplantae, Streptophyta, Magnoliopsida, Solanales, Solanaceae.
CUCUCCCCCUAUUUCUCCUUCCCUUUUCUUUCCUUUUUUCCAUCGCUUAGACAAAAAACCCCAUUAUCGUCUUCCUCUUUUCUCCAUUUCUCCUUCCAACCAGCGCCAACAGUCGCAAUCCCAAAAAAAAUCCAACCGAAGCCCCGUCGACGCUCAUUUCCAUACAAACGACCAUCACUGACCAACGAAUGAUCCCCCCAGUGAAGCCGAACUUGUGCCAGCCACCACUGACCAGCGAAACCCGCUCCGAAUUUAUGACUUGAACUCAAAAUUGGUGAUGGAUUUUAAAUGGAAACAAGCUUCAUGGAUCAAUCCCUACAUCACUUGUCAACCUACAAUCACUUUCUUAUUUAGAUCUUUCUGCCAACUCCUUGAGUAGGAACUUGCCACCAUUUUCAGAUGAAGUCUGUACAAUACAUCCAAAUGAUGCGGCUAGUGGACCCAUUUCGCCCAUGGAUGCAAGGAGACCACAUGAUUAUAGUGAUCCUAAUGAUAGUCGUUGAUUUCGUUGCAAAUUGUCUUGAAUAUUCAAUUAGAUGAUGUAAUUGUGUGGUUG